GAAGGGGCCCAAAGGACUGCUACUCCUUACACCCGAGACUUAAACCUCGGACCCAUCA
This 58-nucleotide transfer RNA is filed under the name Uromastyx benti (Yemeni spiny-tailed lizard). RNAcentral's name for it is "tRNA-Ser". Lineage: Eukaryota; Metazoa; Chordata; Lepidosauria; Squamata; Agamidae. The record is from RNAcentral.